UCAAGGUUGACUCAGCCUUCCAUUCUUCCAAGGUGGGUAAAAUGAGGACCCAAAAUUGUUGGGGACAAUAGGCUGACUCUGUAAACUGCUUAGAGUGGGCUGUAAAGCACUGUGAAAGCAGUAAAUAAGUCUAAGUACCAUUGUUAUUGCUAAAACUAAAAAUAAA
Notechis scutatus (mainland tiger snake) is the source of this 166-nucleotide non-coding RNA. The record is from RefSeq and is a predicted model, not a curated record. NCBI's taxonomy places the organism in Eukaryota, Metazoa, Chordata, Lepidosauria, Squamata, Elapidae.